This 127-nucleotide small RNA is filed under the name Acinetobacter baumannii. RNAcentral describes it as "RtT sRNA". It matches the Rfam family "RtT RNA". Rfam says of the family: This family represents a bacterial cis-regulatory element known as RtT RNA. The exact function of RtT is unknown although it is thought that it may be involved in changing the cellular response in relation to amino acid starvation. Lineage: Bacteria; Pseudomonadati; Pseudomonadota; Gammaproteobacteria; Moraxellales; Moraxellaceae. The record is from RNAcentral.
UAUUCUGCCCCACGGGGAAGGAUGAGAAGCUUCGACCAAGGUUCGACUCGAGCGAAGCGAGAGAACGUUGCCGCAGGCAACGGCCCGAAGGGCGAGGCGCAGCCGAGUAAUCCUCCCGGAUGCACCA